CAUUAAGAAGCUAUGCAUCAGCACUAGCCUUUUAAGCUAGAGAAAGUGGGAUACCCCUCCUUAAUGA
RNAcentral lists this transfer RNA (67 nucleotides) under Indicator maculatus (spotted honeyguide). Its description in RNAcentral is "tRNA-Lys". The record is from RNAcentral. Lineage: Eukaryota; Metazoa; Chordata; Aves; Piciformes; Indicatoridae.